AUGGUGACUGUGGAACCAGAAACCACCCCUACUCCCAACCCCCCACCUACAGAAGAAGAGAAAACAGAAUGUAGUGAGGUUGCUAACCCAGAACACUGUAUUAAAUAAACACCCUUUACAGAACAGAUGGGCACUCUGGUUUUUUAAAAAUGAUAAAAGCAAAACUUGGCAAGCAAACCUUUGAUUGAUCUCUAAGUUUGAUACUGUUGAAGACUUUUGGGCUCUGUACAACCAUAUCCAGUUAUCUAGUAAUUUAAUGCCUGGCUGUGACUACUCACUUUUUAAGGAUGGUAUUGAGCCUAUGUGGGAAGAUGAGAAAAAAAAACGAUAAGGACGAUGGCUAAUUACACUGAACAAACAGCAGAGACGAAGUGACCUCGAUAUUUUUUGGCUAGAGACACUGCUGUGCCUUAUUGGAGAAUCUUUUGAUGACUACAGUGAUGAUAUAUGUGGAGCUGCUGUUAAUGUUAGAGCUAAAGGUGAUAAGACAUGGACACGAGUUUGAGUAAACUCUGCAAGUUGGUGAUGGACAGGGAGGCCUGGCGGGCUGCAGUCCAUGGCGUCGCGAAGAGUCGGACACAACUAAGCGACUGAACUGAACUGAAAAGUGAUAAAAUAGCAAUACGGGCUACUGAAUGUGAAAACAGAGAAACUGCUACACAUAUAGGGAGGGUAUACAAGGAAAGGUUAUGACUUCCUCCAAAGAUAGUGAUUGGGUUAUCAGUCCCAUGCAGACACAGCUACUAAGAGCAGCUCCACCACUAAAAAUUGGUUUGUUGUUUAAGAAGACACUCUCUGAGUAUUCUCAUAGGCGACUGCCUCAAGCAAUCGAGAUUUGGAGGCUGAACGAAAGCCUCUUCAAAAGCAGAAUGGGCUGCAUUUAAAUUUGAGUUCCAUCUAAAUGUUGCUAAGAUAUAAGGAAGUCUCAUUAGCCUUUGUCUUGUACUUCUGUAUUCAUAUUUUCUUUUUUUUUGGCUAGAGUGUCCAUUAUCCCAAUCAAAGUAUUACAGUACACAUCAUAUCAUCCCCAGAAUCCAUACAUGUGUUCCUGGCCCACUCUGUAAUAGCUUAAUAGAAUUAACCAUUACAAAAACAUUUGACCCAUCUACAAUAUUAAAAUAAAAGAACUUGCAUUUCUAUACAAGAGAAUGAUUUUGUUUACGUUCCAUUGUAUGAGGGAGCAUAUUUUACUGGUUUGAAAGAGUAUGAUGCAUAGUUUUCUGGCAAUUUUUUUGUUUCUUUUUACAGCAUUAUCUGUGCAGUACUCUUGCUGAUGGCUGCUAGAUUUUGUUUCCCUACUUGAUAACAUUAGUGACUCUGAUUUCAGUUUUUCAUUUGUUUUGCUUUAGUUUUUCUUUCUCAUGUAACAUUGGUGAAGAAUCUAGGAAUAUGACAUAAAGGUGGAAUAAACAUUAAUUUUGUGUAUUCUUUGGUAAUUUUUUUUUGUAACUUAACUACAAUGCUUUGCUACAAAUUUAUGCUUUUCAUUCAAAGCACUGAUCUAUGUUUGUGUGGUUUCCUAAACUUAAUUGUGUAUUAUAAAAAAUGUAGUAUCAUAAUUACAUUCCUAAUUAGAAUUAGUAUGUCUGUUUUUGUAUCUUUAUGCUGUAUUUUAACACUUUGUAUUACUUAGGUUAUUUUACUUUGGUUAAAAAAUUGGCUCAAGUAGAAAAGUGGUCCCACUCCUAUUAAGACAGUGUACAAAACUGUAAACAAAAUGUGUACAGUGAAUUGUCUUUAAAAAAUAAAAUAAAAUAGUGAAACAGAA
Molecule: RNA transcript, 1768 nt
Organism: Cervus elaphus (red deer)
Lineage: Eukaryota; Metazoa; Chordata; Mammalia; Artiodactyla; Cervidae
Gene name: eukaryotic translation initiation factor 4E-like
Exons: 1
Source: RefSeq, a predicted model, not a curated record